Molecule: ribosomal RNA, 715 nt
Filed under: uncultured euryarchaeote
Lineage: Archaea; Methanobacteriati; Methanobacteriota
Description: bacterial SSU rRNA
Rfam family: Archaeal small subunit ribosomal RNA
Source: RNAcentral
GCAAAGAGAUACUAUUUAGCUAGAGACCGGUAGAUGUAAGGAGUACGCUCAAGGUAAUGGUAAAAUAUGUUAAUCUUGGGUGGACUAACAAUUGGCGAAGGCACCUUACAAGGACGGAUCUGACAGUGAGGGAUGAAGGCCAGGGGCGCAAAACGGAUUAGAUACCCGUGUAGUCCUGGCAGUAAACACUGCUCACUAAACAUCGGUCUCUCUUCGGGAGAAAUCGGUGCUGAAGCGAAGGCGCAGAGUGAGCUACCUGGGAAGUAUAGUCGCAAGAUCGAAACUUAAAGGAAUUGGCGGGGAGACACACAACGAGUGACGCGUGCGGUUCAAUUAGAUUCUACACCGUGAACCUCACCAGGAGCGACAGCAGAAUGAAGGUCAGUCUAAAGGGCUUACCUGACGCGCUGAGCGGAGAUGCAUGGCCGACAUCAGCCUGUGCUGUGAAGUGACCUGUUAAAUCAGGUAACAGGCGAGACCCGUGUGCAUAAUUACUACCGAAAGGAGAACUUUAUGCAGACUGCCGUGGUAACACGGAGGAAGGUGCGGGCUAUGUCAGGUGAGUACGUCCCUAACCCCCUGGGCUACACGCGCGCGGCAAUGGUAAACUCAACGAGAUGCGACUCCGAGAGGAGGAGCUAAUCUCUUAACGUUUAUCUCAGUACAGAUUGAGGGUUGCAACCCACCCUCAUGACGAUGGAAUUCGAAGUAAUCG